Molecule: ribosomal RNA, 502 nt
Filed under: uncultured bacterium
Lineage: Bacteria
Description: partial 16S ribosomal RNA
Rfam family: Bacterial small subunit ribosomal RNA
Source: RNAcentral
GAUGAACGCUGGCGGCGUGCUUAACACAUGCAAGUCGAACGGAAAUAGAAUGAAAAAGCUGAUGCUUGCAUCAGCAUGGGAUUUCUAUUUUAGUGGCGGACGGGUGAGUAACGCGUGGAUAACCUGCCUUACACUGGGGGAUAACACUUAGAAAUAGAUGCUAAUACCGAAUAAGCGCACAGGACCGCAUGGUCUGGUGUGAAAAACUCCGGUGGUGUAAGAUGGAUCCGCGUCUGAUUAGCUAGUUGGUGAGGUAACGGCUCACCAAGGCGACGAUCAGUAGGCGGCCUGAGAGGGUGAACGGCCACAUUGGGACUGAGACACGGCCCAAACUCCUACGGGAGGCAGCAGUGGGGAAUAUUGCACAAUGGGCGAAAGCCUGAUGCAGCGACGCCGCGUGAGUGAAGAAGUAUUUCGGUAUGUAAAGCUCUAUCAGCAAGGAAGAAAAUGACGGUACUUGACUAAGAAGCCCCGGCUAACUACGUGCCAGCCGCCGCUGUAA